Long non-coding RNA from Macrobrachium nipponense, 1301 nucleotides. RefSeq lists it as uncharacterized. The transcript has 4 exons. The record is from RefSeq and is a predicted model, not a curated record. NCBI's taxonomy places the organism in Eukaryota, Metazoa, Arthropoda, Malacostraca, Decapoda, Palaemonidae.
CUUACAGGGAUGGCAGCAAGUUUUUGGUCGAAUGGUGCCCGGUUAGCAUCUUUGUGGCAAAAUUGUCAAGUCAUUAUAGGACACAUCACUGCAGCAUAGACAGCAGUUUUAAAAGGUGCACUGGAUAAUGUCUGCUUAGAACAAUGUUAGUUGGAGAAAUGUCAUUCAAAUAGUGAAUGGAAAUUAAAGAAAGGAGACAUCACUACAACUUGGUAGUUUCAAAAUCUGCUUUGGAUAACAUCUGCCUUAACUAAUAUUGUAGGAGAAAUUUCAGUCAAACGAUGAAUGUAAAUCAAAGGAAUACACGGUUUUCUUCAUGGAAUGGUAUAAGAAUGGAGUCAUCCAAAUGGCAUGAAAAGUUAGUUAAAAUCUUGUCAAGAAACUGAACAUACAAGGAUAUUAAUGAGGUCGGAAAUGCUCUAAACCCAGUUCUGCAUGGAUAGGCACAGGAAUGAAGUCUUUCGCAGAGCUGAAAAUAUUUCAAGAUACGAUGACUCAGUUACAGGAGGACAGAACGUGCACAAGAUUCCAGAAAAUAUGCCGGGAUAUUGCUGAAGCUGGAAAUGUGGCCCAUAAUGGAAUGACUUCCUAUGCUGCAAGACUGAAGUCUUCUACAGAGUUGGUGAUUCAUCAAGACCCAAAGAUUAAAUAACAGGGAGUUUCAUGAGGACAGAAUAUGCAUGAACAUCCAGGAAAAUGCUCCAUAAUUUAUAGGCAGUGACCAGAGUAAUUUUUAUAGGAGGAAGUCCUGUACAACUGUAAACUACUUGUUGCCUGGAAUAUGAAGAGAUGCAGAGGAAUAUAUAUAGGUGGUCUGAAGUCAAGAGGUAGAUACGUUAGCAGGUUGUGAAAAUUUAAUUGAACUGAUAUCUGGUGUUACAUAAUAUGCAAUGUAACUUACCCAUGCUAAGUAAUACCAGGUUUAUGGAAAGCUGAAGAUCGACUGCUAGUUGUUACAUAAUAGAUGUAUCACUAGCUAUCAGAUCAAUUCCUUAACUUUUUAUAACCUGCUCACGUACCUACCUCAGAGUUCAGACCAUUUAGGUAUUCAACUAAUUCUUCAAUUUACGUACUCCAUUAAGUAUUUUAUUUAGUUGUACAGACCUUUUCCUACAAUCACCCUGGUUGCCUAGUUAAAUUGUGAAGCACUUUUCUGGACUAUUAUGUUCUGCCCUUAGAAAUUCCCUAAAAUUUAAAAUCUUUUGGGCCAUGACAUAAUAUCAGCUAUGAGGAUAUUCUUUUGUCAUGAAAAGCAGAAUGUAGGAGAGAAAAUGGAAUAAGGGAAAUUAAACUCUUCACAU